CCAGAAGUGCGAAUGCUGACAUGAGUAGCGAUAAAGGGAGUGAAAAGCUCCCUCGCCGAAAGCCCGAGGUUUCCUGCGCAACGUUCAUCGGCGCAGGGUGAGUCGGCCCCUAAGGCGAGGCUGAAAAGCGUAGUCGAUGGGAAACAGGUCAAUAUUCCUGUACCUCUUGGUAAUGCGAUGGGGGGACGGAGAAGGUUAGGUCAGCCGGGUGUUGGACGUCCCGGUUCAAGCGUGUAGGCAGACUUCUUAGGCAAAUCCGGGAGGUCAAUGCCGAGGCGUGAUAACGAGUGGUCUCGUACCGCGAAGUGAUUGAUACCAUGCUUCCAAGAAAAGCCUCUAAGCUUCAGUUACCAGAAGACCGUACCGCAAACCGACACAGGUGGGCAGGAUGAAAAUUCUAAGGCGCUUGAGAGAACUCAGGAGAAGGAACUCGGCAAAUUUGCACCGUAACUUCGGGAAAAGGUGCGCCCUGAUAGGUUGUAGCCCCUCGCGGGUGAAGGCUGAAAGGGUUGCAGUGAAAUGGUGGCUGCGACUGUUUAAUAAAAACACAGCACUCUGCAAACACGAAAGUGGACGUAUAGGGUGUGACGCCUGCCCGGUGCCGGAAGGUUAAGUGAUGGGGUGCAAGCUCUUGAUCGAAGCCCCGGUAAACGGCGGCCGUAACGAUAACGGUCCUAAGGUAGCGAAAUUCCUUGUCGGGUAAGUUCCGACCUGCACGAAUGGCGUAACGAUGGCCACACUGUCUCCUCCUGAGACUCAGCGAAGUUGAAGUGGUUGUGAAGAUGCAAUCUCCCCGCGGUUAGACGGAAAGACCCCAUGAACCUUUACUGUAGCUUUGCAUUGGACUUUGAACCGACUCGUGUAGGAUAGGUGGGAGGCUGUGAAUCCGGGACGCUAGUUCUGGUGGAGCCAACCUUGAAAUACCACCCUGGUUUGUUUGAGGUUCUAACCACGGCCCGUGAAUCCGGGUCUGGGACCGUGCAUGGUAGGCAGUUUGACUGGGGCGGUCUCCUCCUAAAGUGUAACGGAGGAGUACGAAGGUACGCUAGGUACAGUCGGAAAUCGUGCUGAUAGUGCAAUGGCAAAAGCGUGCUUGACUGCGAGACCCACACGUCGAGCAGGUACGAAAGUAGGUCAUAGUGAUCCGGUGGUUCUGUAUGGAAGGGCCAUCGCUCAACGGAUAAAAGGUACUCUGGGGAUAACAGGCUAAUACCGCCCAAGAGUUCAUAUCGACGGCGGUGUUUGGCACCUCGAUGUCGGCUCAUCACAUCCUGGGGCUGUAGUCGGUCCCAAGGGUAUGGCUGUUCGCCAUUUAAAGUGGUACGUGAGCUGGGUUUAAAACGUCGUGAGACAGUUUGGUCCCUAUCUGCCGUGGGCGCUGGAAAUUUGAAGGGGGCUGCUCCUAGUACGAGAGGACCGGAGUGGACGAACCUCUGGUGUACCGGUUAUGACGCCAGUCGUAUCGCCGGGUAGCUAAGUUCGGAAGAGAUAAACGCUGAAAGCAUCUAAGCGUGAAACUCGCCUUAAGAUAAGAUUUCCCCGGGGACUCGAUCCCCCUGAAGGGUCGUGGUAGACCACCACGUUGAUAGGCUGGGUGUGGAAGCGCAGCAAUGCGUUAAGCUAACCAGUACUAAU
This 1635-nucleotide ribosomal RNA is filed under the name metagenome. RNAcentral's name for it is "bacterial LSU rRNA". It matches the Rfam family "Bacterial large subunit ribosomal RNA", at positions 1282 to 2905 of the family's 2925-position model. The record is from RNAcentral.